RNAcentral lists this ribosomal RNA (253 nucleotides) under uncultured bacterium. Its description in RNAcentral is "partial 16S ribosomal RNA". It matches the Rfam family "Bacterial small subunit ribosomal RNA", at positions 524 to 776 of the family's 1533-position model. The record is from RNAcentral.
UACAGAGGUCCCAAGCGUUGUUCGGAUUCACUGGGCGUAAAGGGUGCGUAGGCGGUCGGGUAAGUCUGAUGUGAAAUCUCACAGCUUAACUGUGAAACUGCAUUGGAUACUAUUCGGCUUGAGAGUUGGAGGGGGGACUGGAAUUCUUGGUGUAGCAGUGAAAUGCGUAGAUAUCAAGAGGAACACCAGUGGCGAAGGCGAGUCCCUGGACAACUUCUGACGCUGAGGCACGAAAGCGUGGGGAGCGAACGGG